This 944-nucleotide long non-coding RNA is filed under the name Elaeis guineensis (African oil palm). RNAcentral describes it as "long non-coding RNA (EGUI_LNC060503)". Lineage: Eukaryota; Viridiplantae; Streptophyta; Magnoliopsida; Arecales; Arecaceae. The record is from RNAcentral.
AAGCCCUCUACUUCUGCUCUCUAUCGGCACCUCUCCAAGAUCUGCCUACUAGUGCCUGCCAAACUCCUCUCUGUUCACUACAUACAGAAUCUCUAUCGAACCACACACAUCUCUAUUCGCUAUAGGAUCUUUUAAAGCCCUAAAAUUCUUCCUAGAUCAGGGAACCACUUUUGAUCAGACUCUAGAUGCUUCACGGCCAUCCGAUCAGCACUGCAAGUCUCCUCAGCCACUCAAUCAUGCUCGAUCAAGCUCCAUCAGACCCAGAUCAUGCCCGCAAGCCAACUGCACCAUCUGAUCACAUGCCAGAUCAGAUCGCAGCCAUCCGAUCACAUUCGAUCCAUGAAAUAGUACCAUGGAUGACAAGAAACGGCUCUGAAACACUGUCGGUCCAUGGUGGACAAUGAGAAAUGGGUGAGAAAUGCCAACUUGAUCCACUGCGACCCCCAUGGUCCAUCGAUUCAUGCAUUGCACAUGGACCGCAUGAGAGUCCCAUGCGAAUCGCACUUGCGUGCGCCCACCUGGGCCUAGGCUGCACCCACCUGGGCCUGGGCCACGCACCAUGCGCACUCAUGCAUCUGCACACUGGGUCGUGUGCUUGUGGCUGACCCGUGCACCAUCGCACAUGCUCUCUCCACCAUGACCUCUGUCAGCCUUCGUCGCUUCGAUCUCCAUGCAGAAUUCUCUCGCACAUAACUUCACCGUCUGGACUCUGUUUGGGCUGAACUUGGGUUUGUUGGACUUCAUUUAUCUUUGUGGACCUCGCUGCAGAUUCAGUAUGGAUCGAAUCUUGAGACAUCAAAGCCUAACAAUCUUAAUCUCGACUCGACAUUCGACCUCCUCACAACUCUGAGAGCUUCUGGAUCUCCUCGUCUCUAUGCCUUGGGACAAUCAUCUGCUGAUUAUGGAUGGACAAAUAUGGGUGUCGAGUCAGAUCGCUCGAACCC